GGGUCCGGACACACUGAGGAUUGACAGGCAAUAUUAAUACGUGUUUCGGCGCGUAUUAUGUUAAAUAUGCUAGUCCUUUCAUGAUUAUGUGAUAGGUGGUGCAUGGCCGUUCUUAGUUCGUGGAGUGAUCUGUCUGCUUAAUUGCGUUUCACUAAGAAUCUAUCAAUACGUGCGUUGCGGCACUUUGACCCCUCUCUGAGCGCGCGUCUUAGUUGCUUAGCUCGCACAAUUAGGUUCUGAAAGCAACGAACGUGACCGCAACCUCUUGUUGCCUUUAUACCAAACAUUUUUGCUGUUCUCAGCAUUAAUGCAAAAAGGCUUUUUAAACUAGAGGGACCGCUGUUACUUUCUUAAACCAGAGGAAGGUUGCGGCAAUAACAGGUCUGUGAUGCCCUUAGAUGUUCCGGGCUGCACACGUGCUACAAUGAUUGUUGCAGUGAGCAUCUCAUUUUUACACACCGCAUGCGCGAGUCCGUUUAUUCGCUUCGGUGUUUUAAACGUGUAUUUCUGCGCGCGGUAAAGCCUGCUUCGAGAGUAAGUGGGU
This 544-nucleotide ribosomal RNA is filed under the name Oridorsalis umbonatus. Its description in RNAcentral is "SSU rRNA". It matches the Rfam family "Eukaryotic small subunit ribosomal RNA", at positions 1220 to 1547 of the family's 1831-position model. Lineage: Eukaryota; Foraminifera; Rotaliida; Alabaminidae. The record is from RNAcentral.